GCCCCCAUCGUCUAGUGGUUUAG
Molecule: transfer RNA, 23 nt
Filed under: Ovieda spinosa
Lineage: Eukaryota; Viridiplantae; Streptophyta; Magnoliopsida; Lamiales; Lamiaceae
Description: partial tRNA-Glu
Source: RNAcentral